Molecule: long non-coding RNA, 1465 nt
Organism: Calidris pugnax (ruff)
Lineage: Eukaryota; Metazoa; Chordata; Aves; Charadriiformes; Scolopacidae
Exons: 2
Source: RefSeq, a predicted model, not a curated record
GGGGCCAGUCCUGCUGUCCUUUCAGAGAGGACUUUGAAGUGACAUCAUUUCAGGAUCAGGGGCUCAAGAUGGUCCAUACCUGUGGGGGUUACAGAUCAACCUAGCAGUCACCCAGCUGCUCUGUCUGACCAAAAUAGUUACCUCCUGUGUUAGCUCUCCCAGAGGUGUGAUACUGAAACUGAGGUGGUGUCCACUAACACAAGGGGUGUUGCUCUUUCUCCCGGGUGUAGCCAGCAGUCCGGAUGCUGUGCACGUCGUGCUGGACAGGCACCUGGUGACAGGACAGAAUGAGAAUUCCACUCUUCCUGCCGUCCAGAAUCUUCUCAUUCUUUGCAAUGUCAGGUGAAUGUGUGUUACAAGUCCUGUCCUGGCUGUGGACUAACAGGUCGUGUCAUGUUUGGAUGUGUUUCCUUCAGCAGGAAAUGAAGGAGCGGGUCCCUUUGCAAAUGGGCUGGAUGAAGAGCCAGCAGGGCUAAGGACUUGCUUGUCUGUUACCUGGAUAAAACAGCCCUCUCAAAUUCUGUUCUGGACUGUGAAGUGGCUGUGACAGUGAAGUGGCAAUGUCAGGUUUUGUAUAUAUAGAGUGGCUGAAGGUUGUGGAUAAGGAGACUUUGAAGUGCAUCACGCUUCAGAAGAAACCUUGCCUUUUUGUUGCUACAUCUUCUUUUCACCGCUUCUCCCUAGACCCUUAACUUAACAGAUGUGGGAACUGUGGCUUGUUAAAAAAACACACAUAUUUGGUGCUAUGAAUACAAAUUGCUGAAGCUGAAGACUCUGCUCUAGGCUGAUCAUUUGUAACUCUGCCCCAAAGAGGACCUGGAACUCUGUGAACAGUCUGGCGCUUGUGUUUCAAAUAUCAAAAAUCUACACCCAGAGCUUCAUUGAAAUGCAAGAUGCAGUCUCACCUUGCUUUUGGUAGGUCACAAAGUUACCGUCUGAACUCUGAAAUGGCUCUGGGACACUUGGAUGUACUUGGAAUAGGAUGGAAAAUGCUUAUGUGAACUCUGAAUAAAGCAGAACCAGUUGUUUGAAGGCAGCUCCCUGCGGUGAUACUGGCAGCAUAAUGUGCCCUUGUUUUCUUCCAUGCCUGUUCACAUUGUUUGACUUCUGUUGUACAAGUUUGCUCAGCUGUUUUUUAAAUGGUCUUCUAACUGGUUAUCUGUCCUCCUUUGUGGUGCUUAUGUUACGGGUUUUGUUCUCUUUGGAAUGUUUGAAAUAUUUCUCUCUGGCCAGUACAUUGUGGUUGUCUCUUGCUGGAAUUCUGUGGACAAAGGAAGAAGAAAAAUAUGGAGGCAGCUACUGUGGAUCACGUCUUCUGAGGAACCAGCUGUAAGAUGAAAUCUGGCCUGCUCUUUCCUUUGGAGCAGCAGAUGCAGCUUGCAGUUGAGCAUGAAAAGGAAUAAUGAGGCCAAAAAUAUUUUCUGCUGUUUCAGGCUCAAACAUAAUAAAUCUCUGGGAAAGCAGA